RNAcentral lists this non-coding RNA (23 nucleotides) under Arabidopsis thaliana (thale cress). The record is from RNAcentral. RNAcentral also lists the same sequence under 5 other names. Lineage: Eukaryota; Viridiplantae; Streptophyta; Magnoliopsida; Brassicales; Brassicaceae.
CACCAGGAGUGGAGCCUGCGGCU